Molecule: long non-coding RNA, 1329 nt
Organism: Rosa rugosa (rugosa rose)
Lineage: Eukaryota; Viridiplantae; Streptophyta; Magnoliopsida; Rosales; Rosaceae
Exons: 5
Source: RefSeq, a predicted model, not a curated record
UAACACUUUUGGGUUCCUAACAGGGUUCGUCAUCAGCAAGGUCAUUAGGUCAUCAGGAAGAACAUGCAUAAAAAAAAAAAAAAAUUGAACAAUCCAGAAUCAGGCAUGUUCUUCCUGGGAAUUUGUUUGAUGCAUGAAUAGAUUCGUCGGAGGCUCGGCGAAGAACACCGCCUUUGAUAAGUUUUUUUUUUUUUUCCUACUUUGAGUUGAUUUUAGCAAAGAACACCUCAACCAGCUCCGUCUUUACCUUCUAAAUGUGAAGAUAGUUUAUGCUUGAAUAUGCUCAAGUUUUAUAUUAGGUCAUUAUCAAUCAAAAAAAUGUAAUACCCAUUGCUUACUGGUUACAAAGGGUUCAGUUCAGUUAUGAGUUUUCUUUAUUCCAUAUGCUGUCGUGAUUGCUAGUUGCUAAUUUAACGCAUUUUUAUGGUUCGAUACUUCGAUCUUAAUUUCAGGCUCAGAAAUCAUUGAUGUUGAACAGCAGCAGAGGAGCAAUAGUGACAGCUUUUUGGAGCUCCUACAGAUUGGGACCAGAUGCAGAGAGUUGCUACUGGAAUCAAUGCUUUGAAUUGUGAUUUUGUGGGGAGCAAGACGGAAGUGGGUCAGUUUAUUUGUGCUUAAAGGAAGGAACUUUUUUGGUGUUGGAGGCAUUUAGGAUUUUGGGUGAGUUGUUAUUUGAUAGUGAGCUUGGAGAGUUUGGAGAGGGUGAUGUGGUAGAGAAGCUGAUAUAUCAGAUAUGCAAGAACCCUCAUCCAAAUAUUGUUGUUUUAACUGUUGCAGCAGGUUUGUUCAACAAAAGUUAGGAGGGCUAUCUGUGCGUCUUGAUAUGAAAAGAUGCAGGCUGAUUUAUCAUUUGCGGAUGGAGCAUGACCAAACGUUUCACAGUUUACCAAAAGAGCAGCGCAGAGAAGAGAUUUUGGUUUCACUGCCUACUGCAGUACAUAACUUGGAUAGGUUUCUGUGAAUAAUCCUUAAACUCGCAACAGUAAUUGGUCUUCAAGAGUUGCCGGCAAUUCUCUAUAUACUAAAGCUCCUGUACUGUUCCUAAGCACGAUUCCUAUCAACAGUAAAAUGCGCUUUUGUCCAUGAGGUUUAUGUUAUGUAGUGAGAAAAGGGUCGGUGUAUUUGCGCGUUCGGGAAACCUCCAUCGACUGUAGCUAUCAAGCUGUGAGAUACAGGCGUAGAAGCGUAGCAUCGACUGUCCGAUAGAAGCGUAGCAUCGCAUUGAUCAGGUUCUGAGAUACAAAGGUUGCACUGAAAACAAGUGGGAGAGGUUUGGUUUUCAAAGUUUAUUUACCAAAUUUGGGAUUUUGAAUUGUUGAUUUGAUGUCA